Molecule: transfer RNA, 57 nt
Filed under: Ovis aries (sheep)
Lineage: Eukaryota; Metazoa; Chordata; Mammalia; Artiodactyla; Bovidae
Also listed under: 1 other name
Rfam family: tRNA
About the family: Transfer RNA (tRNA) molecules are approximately 80 nucleotides in length. Their secondary structure includes four short double-helical elements and three loops (D, anti-codon, and T loops). Further hydrogen bonds mediate the characteristic L-shaped molecular structure. tRNAs have two regions of fundamental functional importance: the anti-codon, which is responsible for specific mRNA codon recognition, and the 3' end, to which the tRNAs corresponding amino acid is attached (by aminoacyl-tRNA synthetases). tRNAs cope with the degeneracy of the genetic code in two manners: having more than one tRNA (with a specific anti-codon) for a particular amino acid; and 'wobble' base-pairing, i.e. permitting non-standard base-pairing at the 3rd anti-codon position.
Source: Rfam by way of RNAcentral
UAGCUCAGAUAGUAAAGAAUCUGCCUGCAAAGCAGAAGACCCAGGUUCGAUCCCUGG